AGGACGAACGCUGGCGGCGUGCUUAACACAUGCAAGUCGAGCGGAAAGGCCCUUCGGGGUACUCGAGCGGCGAACGGGUGAGUAACACGUGAGUAAUCUGCCCCUAGCUCUGGGAUAGCUCCGGGAAACCGGGAUUAAUACUGGAUACGACCACCUUAGACAUCUUUUGUGGUGGAAAGAAUUUCGGCUAGGGAUGAGCUCGCGGCCUAUCAGCUUGGUUGGUGGGGUAACGGCCUACCAAGGCGACGACGGGUAG
Molecule: ribosomal RNA, 256 nt
Filed under: uncultured bacterium
Lineage: Bacteria
Description: partial small subunit ribosomal RNA
Rfam family: Bacterial small subunit ribosomal RNA
Source: RNAcentral